RNAcentral lists this ribosomal RNA (455 nucleotides) under uncultured eukaryote. RNAcentral describes it as "bacterial SSU rRNA". It matches the Rfam family "Eukaryotic small subunit ribosomal RNA", at positions 722 to 1119 of the family's 1831-position model. The record is from RNAcentral.
CCCGCGAGGGACGGCGCCGCCCCGGGGCUCGUGAUAUCUUAUCUCGCCGCCCGUCGCGAGGCGGACGGAGGGAUGGAUGAGGUUACCUGGAAAAAAUCGGGGCGAUCUAGGCGGGCGAACCUCGCCAACGAACGAUCGGACAUGGGAUAACGGAAGAGGGCGUCGGCUCGACUUCGUCGGUUCCUCGGGCCGAGGCACGUACGGUGAAUAGGGGACGGUCGGGGCCGCCCGUACCGGGUCGUGAGAGGUGAAAUUCUAGGAUCGACCCGAGACGAACUGCCGCGAAAAGCAUUCGGCAAGGACGCUUUCAUUAAUCAAGAACGAAAGUCGGGGGAUCGAAGACGAUCAGAUACCGUCGUAGUCCCGACCGUAAACGAUGCCGACCGAGGGCCCGGAGGAGUUACGUACGACCCUCCGGGCCCUCCGCGAGAAAUCAGGAGUAUCGGGUUCCGGGG